GGCUCUUUAGCUUAAUUGGUAAAGUCCUCCGCCCAUAACGGAGUAAGUGCAGGUUCAAGCCCUGCAAGAGCCA
RNAcentral lists this transfer RNA (73 nucleotides) under Lactococcus phage 949. It matches the Rfam family "tRNA". From Rfam's summary of the family: Transfer RNA (tRNA) molecules are approximately 80 nucleotides in length. Their secondary structure includes four short double-helical elements and three loops (D, anti-codon, and T loops). The record is from Rfam by way of RNAcentral. Lineage: Duplodnaviria; Heunggongvirae; Uroviricota; Caudoviricetes.